GUUCGCCAUUUUGCACGUGUACGAAACAGUGUUUACCAUUCUGGGAAAUGAGGAUAUAUGGUUUGUUUAUUUGUGUUCCUUUGUAAUUUUACCAGCUUAAAAGUCGUCAAAAUGAGCUCCGAUGCGAUGUUUAUCUGUGGAGCACUCGCUGAAGAGUCUUGUUUGCAGACUGCCAAUCCAAGAUCACAUCGCAGAAAACAGUAGAUCGUGUCAUCAAACGAUGCCAAUAGAUCAUCAUUGGAGCUAUGCUGUGAAAAGCCUUUCUUCUUAUCCAUGGAGGUCAUAAAUCUUAUGGACAAAUCUUGAUAGGUUGCUUGUGGACUAUCCAUUGAUUGGUCUCCAUCAUAUAUCUUAUGGGCAAGCUUUGUUAAUGGACCUUAGAGAAGCAUUAGUAAUGGACUGUUAGGCAAGCUUGGUAUGUGGCCUGUGAACAUUUUUUGAUAUAUGGCCUGUGGACAAGCCUUGGCAAAUAACCUGUGGACAAGUCUUCAUGGACAUUGGGAAACAGUGGAUCUCAUAUAAUAAGAGGAAAGUGGAUGAGGCAGAAUAGCAAGUGGUAAACCAGAGAGUUUAAUUACCUCAGAGUUUUCAUGAAGACAGCUGUGCUGCUCAAGGUGUGGUAUUGCAACAAAUUUGGAGAUACCACAGAGGCUUGAGGAGCAAACUCUCACUUCCUUUCCUGGACAAGCCUUGGUUGGUAGCCUGUGGACAAGCCUUGAUUGGUAGCCUGUGGACAAGCCUUGGUUGGUAGCCAAUGGACAAGCCUUGGUUGGUAGCCUGUGGACAAGCCCUGGAACAAAGCUGUGGACAAAUUUUUUACUGACAGUGGUGAAUCCUGGAUUGUGGAUGAGAGUGGUUACUGGAUAAGGCUGGAUAAGAAAGUGGUGAACCAGAGAGUUGAAAGCUAUAGAUACGAUGCAACAGAUCUGCCAAAUGAAAGCAUCACAACUGGACAGCACAAUAUUAGCAAGAACAUGGACCCAUCUUGGUAGAAGAACCUUGACAAUUCACCCUGGAAGCAAGUACAGGAUUAGUUAUCAUAAUUAUUUCCAUUAAUGCUAGAUUAUAUUUUAAGCCCAGCCUGGAAUGUCAUUGAAUGUGGGGUGCAGCUGGCCCAGGGUUUUCCUCCUAGGUGUAAGUGGACAUAUGGGGAGGUUUUUCACCCAGCUGUUGUUCCACCACCCCCACUCAUUAAGGUUUUUUUUUCCUACACAUGUAGUUCAUAAUAAUGGAAAGUGUGUGUGCCCCAGUUGUUCAAACAAGUGCUUUUGGGGUCUCAGGUUCCAGGGCUUAGGUUUUUGGGUCUCAGUUUUUAUUGAAUCUCAGGUCUUAGAGCUUGGGUUUCUGGGUCAUAGGAUUUUCAGGUCCUGGGUUUUUUCGGUGGUAAGUUUUUUGGGUCUUAGGUUAUUUUGAGUUUUGGUUAAACUGCCUUAGUAGAUUUUUAUUGAAUGUCCACUCUAAGAGCUUUGGUUUCUGGGUCAUAGGAUUUUCAGGUUUUGGGUUUUUUAGGUCAUGGUGAGUUUUUAGGUUUUUAGGUUUUUAGGUUUUUGGGGGCUCAGGGUUGAUGGCUUAGGUUUAAAGGUCUCUCUGGGUCAUGGGAUAUUUGGGUACUGGGUUUUCUGAGUGGUGGGUUUUUUGGGUCUUAGAUUUCUUUGGGUUCAGGUUUAAUGGGCUAGGUAUUUGGGACUUGGUUUUUAUUAAAUCUCAGGUCAAUAGGUUUCUGGCUCAAACCAUUUUCAGGGUCUUGGUUUUUUUUGGGUGGUAAGCUCUUGGUUCUUAUAAUUGUUUGGGUUCAGGUUUAAUGGGCUUAGGUUUAUGGGUCUUGGUUUCUUUUCUUUUUUUUUUUGCUUAUUAGGAUUUUCUGGUCUCAAGUUUCUUAGUCAUAAAUGUUUUCAGUGGUACAUUUUUCAGGUCUCAGAUAUAUCGGGGUCCUUCAAGUUUUUGCCUCUCAAGUUUUAAGGGUUUCAGGUUCAAGGUACUUUGGCUUUUUGGUUCCGGGUUUUUGUGGUCUUGGGCUUUUCAGGCCCUGGGUAUUUAAGGGUCUAAGGUCUUUCGGGUCAGGCUUUUUGGGUUGUAGGAUUUUUCAGUCUUCAGUCCCUAAGGUUCUUAGAUCUUGGGUCAGGCUUUUUUGGGAUCUCUGUUUUUUUCAGUCUUUGUUCUCUGGUAUCUUAGGCUUUUCAACCCUUAGGCAUUUCAGGGUUCAAGGUCUUUUGGGUCAGGCUUUUUGGGUCUCAGGUCUUUUCAGUCUUAGGAUAUUUGUUCUUAGGUUUGUGUAUUUUAGGUUUGUUGGGUCUAAGGUAGUUGGGGUUGUAGAUUGAGGGUGUUAGGUUCCUCUUGUCACAGGUUUCCAAGUCUUAGGUUUUCUGAAUCCUCUCUGGGGGUGGGAUUUCUGGUCCUCACUAUUUUUCUAGGUGCUCAGUUUAGGUUUUUGCUCCUUACUGUGGGUCUUUAUUAUCAUAAUAUGAUUUAGAAGACAAACAGUAAGUGAGAUAGAACCACUUAGGAAUUUCUUUUAUGCCUGCAUGCCUUAAUUUUUGCACUUGUUUGAACAAAGUUUGGGGAGGUUAAUGUUAGAUUUAGUUGUCUUGAUUCCUACUGGAUAGUCUUUGAUCAAUUUUUUUUCUGUAGAGUUUACAUGUUAUUCUAAGACCGCAACUCAUUCAAUCUCAGUUUUCUAGGUCUAAGGCAUUGUUGAACAUCAUGAUUUAUCUACCAAAUUUAAUUUCAUGGUGACUGUCAUAGGUGUGUGACACAGAUAAAAAUUGGAGCAAGUGCACAUUAAGCUGACAGAGGUGGCUGUUUUCACAUUCAAAUUGUGGGGGCUAAAGUGUUAAGGCAAGGAUUGUCACCUCAAGGAGAAAAUAUCUCAAGAAAAUUUCAAUUUCAAAUCAAAAAAAUCUAAGAGACUAUGGCAAGGAGAUUUCUUGGUCAUUUUCUGGUCUUUUUGGUCUAAGAUUUUGUUAAGGUUCAAGUCUCUUAGAUAUGUGGUUUUUUAAGCCCUGGGAUCUUUUAGAUCUCAGGUUCUUUGGGUGUGAGACUUUUGGGUCUUUAAUAGGUUUUGUAUCAAAGGUUUUUUUGGGUCUAAGUUUUUUCGGUCUAGUUUUAGAGUGUGAUUGAAGCUAUUGGAUAUUGGUAACCACAGACAAAUUAUAACUCAUAGGCAUUUGGAAUGGAGAAAUUGGAUGGAAAAUUUCAAAUAUUUUUUACAAAGCCAUGCUGAAUGAUACGUUUAAAUUAAGCUAAAAAUAGUUCUAAGACAUACCUCAUUGCUCAUAUGGAGGCUGUCAAAACAAUUACUGAUUAGUAAUGAUAGUUAAUAUUACCAACAUCAUGCUGACAAAAUUGUUUAAAAUAUAUUUCUGGGUCUUAGGUUUCCACACUAUAUGUUUUCUUAUUCCAAAGUGUAUCAGGUUUUUCAGAUCUAAGUUUGGUGGGUCAUGGUUUUCCUUUCCUUAGGUUUUCCAGUUCUCAAGUUUUUUUGGGACCAAGGUGUUCUAAGUUGUGGGUUUUUGGGCCUCAGGUUUCUGAAUCUUGGAUUUCCUAGUCUAAGGUAUAUUUUUGGGUCUUUUUGUGGGUCAAGGAUCUCCAGGUUUAACCAGUUUUAAGUCCAGGGUGAUAGUAUAUUCUAGAUCUCAGAUUUCCAUGUCUCAGGUAUAUUUCUGGUUCUUGGGUUUAAGGGCCAUAAGUUCUGAGUGUUAGAGUCCUAGAUUUUGGUCUUAAGUUUCAGGUUCUUAGAUUUCAAAGUCCUUAGCUUAUUUCUACCAUUUCAUAUUAAUUAUAAGGGUUAAAGGUCUCUGGGUCUCAGAUUUCUGAGUUUUAGGCUUCACAGUUUUAGGUUUCUGGGUUAUAGUGGUCUUCAGGUGUUUCAUCCACCUUUUGGGGGGGGGGGAGAAGAGGGUCUUAGACUUCUGCAAUUUGAAUUUAAGGGUAGUUAGGUUGGUGUUGUAGGAAUUAGGGGAAACAUGUCAUUCUAGGAUUUCCCAGCCCAAAGGUUUCCAGAGUUUUAUGAUGUUUUAGGAUUCCUGGUUUUAGAUUGGCAUGAUGUUUUUGGUAAUAUUACUAUAUUGAGUACAUCAGCAAGCUCAUUACCACAAACUACUUUUAGGAGUACUUUUAGUUUGCUUUUCAGUAGUCUACCAUUUUCCCCUCUAGGCUGAAUAUGUGGCUGAUGGCUACACUGGUUAAGCAGAUAGCUUAUCCACAGUUAAGGUUUCAUUUAAAUUUAUUGCUAAGUUAGAUUGAAUUUCAUUUCAUGCAAAGAGCAAAUCCUUGAUGAUUUCACGUAAGUAUG
Long non-coding RNA from Pocillopora damicornis (cauliflower coral), 4291 nucleotides. Lineage: Eukaryota; Metazoa; Cnidaria; Anthozoa; Scleractinia; Pocilloporidae. The record is from RefSeq and is a predicted model, not a curated record.